This is a long non-coding RNA of Corapipo altera (White-ruffed manakin), 604 nucleotides long. RefSeq lists it as uncharacterized. Lineage: Eukaryota; Metazoa; Chordata; Aves; Passeriformes; Pipridae. The transcript is spliced from 3 exons. The record is from RefSeq and is a predicted model, not a curated record.
UGCAAGUGUCCAAGGCCAGGUUGGAUGGGGCUUGGAGCAACCUGGGAUAGUGGAAGGUGCCCCUGCCCAUGGCAGGUGGUGCAACUGGAUGUUCUUCAGGUCCUCCCAUCCCAAAACAUUCUGUGAUUCUGUGCUAUUCCCCAAAAUAUUAAUUAUUGUUUAUGAGUAAGGGAUGGAGAAUGGGUGCAAAAAGAUCUCUGCCAGCAAAAGGAUUGUAAAUAAAACAUUGCCUGUGGAUGCACAUAGAUAAAUAUGCUUAUAGAUAAAUAUACAUCCCCACAUGCAGUCACCUGUUUCUUCCUUUAGCCCUUCUGUUACAGAACUCCCCGGCUGUAGUCCAUUGCCAUGCUGAAUCCAAGAACUGCAAUAUUCAACUAUUUUUAUGUGUGUGAUGAAAGCUGUAGGAACUUUUCUUUGAACACUUGCUUUAUAAAACACUCCUGAUACAGCUGUUGUGCUUUUAUAACUAAAAUGUAAUUAUGACAUUAGAGGCAUUGAAGGAAUGUGUAAAAUAUAAAAUCUUGAGUCACUUUCACUGGACUAUCCUGUACUGCCAGCACUAGGAAAAAUCUGUUGUGUUAUGGCACAGUGUGUGAUUUUCUGC